UGGGGGAAUAUUGGGCAAUGGGCGAAAGCCUGACCCAGCGACGCCGCGUGAGGGAAGAAGGUCUUCGGAUUGUAAACCUCUUUCAGCAGGGAAGAAGUAAGUGACGGUACCUGCAGAAGAAGUCACGGCUAACUACGUGCCAGCAGCCGCGGUAAUACGUAGGUGGCGAGCGUUAUCCGGAAUUACUGGGUGUAAAGGGUGUGUAGGCGGGAGAGCAAGUCAGAUGUGAAAAUUGUGGGCUCAACUCACAACCUGCAUUUGAAACUGUUUUUCUUGAGAGUGGGAGAGGUAAAUGGAAUUCCUGGUGUAGUAGUGAAAUGCGUAGAUAUCAGGAGGAACACCGGUGGCGAAGGCAUCUCACGAAUCCGCGAUUGACGCUGAGGCACGAAAGUGCGGGGAGCAAACAGGAUUAGAUACCCUGGUAGU
Molecule: ribosomal RNA, 426 nt
Filed under: uncultured Frankineae bacterium
Lineage: Bacteria; Bacillati; Actinomycetota; Actinomycetes; Frankiales
Description: bacterial SSU rRNA
Rfam family: Bacterial small subunit ribosomal RNA
Source: RNAcentral